Molecule: ribosomal RNA, 246 nt
Filed under: uncultured bacterium
Lineage: Bacteria
Description: partial small subunit ribosomal RNA
Rfam family: Bacterial small subunit ribosomal RNA
Source: RNAcentral
AGAAUCAACGCUGGCGGCGUGCCUAACACAUGCAAGUCGCACGAGAAAGGGGAGCAAUCCCUGAGUAAAGUGGCGCACGGGUGAGUAACACGUGAAUAAUCUACCUCCGAGUGGGGAAUAAACUGAGAGAAAUCUUAGCUAAUACCGCAUAACACUUACGAGUCAAAGCAGCAAUGCGCUUGGAGAGGAGUUCGCGGCCGAUUAGCUAGUUGGCGGGGUAAUGGCCCACCAAGGCGAUGAUCGGUA